Molecule: ribosomal RNA, 1173 nt
Filed under: Lasioderma serricorne (cigarette beetle)
Lineage: Eukaryota; Metazoa; Arthropoda; Insecta; Coleoptera; Ptinidae
Description: SSU rRNA
Rfam family: Eukaryotic small subunit ribosomal RNA
Source: RNAcentral
ACUCAUGUCUCGUACAGCCGAUUAAGGUGAACCGCGAAAGGCUCAUUAAAUCAGUUAUGGUUUCCUUAGAUCGCACACAUAUUUACCUGGAUAACCGGGGUAAUUCUAGAGCUAAUACAUGCAAACAGAGCUCCGACCGGAAACGGGAGGAGCGCUUUUAUUAGAUCAAAACCAAUCGGCGUCGGUCCGUUCGCCCGGGUCGUCGUCGUCCACCUUGGUGACUCUGAAUAACUUCAAGCUGAUCGCACGGUCACGCACCGGCGACGCAUCUUUCAAAUGUCUGCCUUAUCAACUGUCGAUGGUAGGUUCUGCGCCUACCAUGGUUGUAACGGGUAACGGGGAAUCAGGGUUCGAUUCCGGAGAGGGAGCCUGAGAAACGGCUACCACAUCCAAGGAAGGCAGCAGGCGCGCAAAUUACCCACUCCCGGCACGGGGAGGUAGUGACGAAAAAUAACGAUACGGGACUCAUCCGAGGCCCCGUAAUCGGAAUGAGUACAAUCUAAACCCUUUAACGAGGAUCAAUUGGAGGGCAAGUCUGGUGCCAGCAGCCGCGGUAAUUCCAGCUCCAAUAGCGUAUAUUAAAGUUGUUGCGGUUAAAAAGCUCGUAGUCGAAUCUGUGUCCCGCGCCGCCGGUUCAUCGCUCGCGGUGUCUGACUGGCGUGCCGCGGGACGUCCUGCCGGUGGACGCGGCUCCGGAAGCGUUCGCGGUAUCACCGAGUUCGCGGAAGGGGCGGUCCAGCCUUAAAUCUCACCGCGGUGCUCUUCACUGAGUGUCAAGGUGGGCCGGCACGUUUACUUUGAACAAAUUAGAGUGCUUAAAGCAGGCCAAAAAUUCGCCUGAAUACUGUGUGCAUGGAAUAAUGGAAUAGGACCUCGGUUCUAUUUUGUUGGUUUUCGGAACCCCGAGGUAAUGAUUAAUAGGAGCGGAUGGGGGCAUUCGUAUUGCGACGUUAAAGGUGAAAUUCUUGGAUCGUCGCAAGACGGACAUAAGCGAAAGCAUUUGCCAAAAACGUUUUCAUUGAUCAAAAACGAAAGUUAAAGGUUCCAAGGCGAUCAAAUACCGCCCUAGUUCUAACCAUAAACAAUGCCAGCUAACGAUCCGCCCACGUUCCUCCAAUGACUCGGCGGGUAGCUUCCGGGAAACCAAAGCCUUUGGGUCCGGGGGAAGACGGA